This 249-nucleotide ribosomal RNA is filed under the name uncultured bacterium. RNAcentral describes it as "partial 16S ribosomal RNA". It matches the Rfam family "Bacterial small subunit ribosomal RNA", at positions 793 to 1055 of the family's 1533-position model. The record is from RNAcentral.
GUCCACGCCUAACGAUGAUUACUCGAUGUUAGCGAUAUACAGUUAGCGUCAAAGCGAAGCGUUAAGUAAUCCACCUGGGAGUACGCCGGCAACGGUGAACUCAAGGAAUUGACGGGCCCGCACAAGCGGAGGAGCAUGUGGUUUAAUUCGAUGAUACGCGAGGAACCUUACCCGGGCUUGAAGUUAGUGAAUGAACCAGAAAUGGAUCAGUCCGCAAGGACACGAAACUAGGUGCUGCAUGGCUGUCGU